UACGGGGGGGGCAAGGGUUGUUCGGAAUUACUGGGCGUAAAGGGCUCGUAGGCGGCCAACUAAGUCGGAUGUGAAAUCCCCAGGCUUAACCUGGGAACUGCAUCCGAUACUGGAUGGCUUGAAUCCGGGAGAGGGAUGCAGAAUUCCAGGUGUAGCGGUGAAAUGCGUAGAUAUCUGGAGGAACACCGGUGGCGAAGGCGGCAUCCUGGACCGAUACUGACGCUGAUGAGCGAAAGCCAGGGGAGCAAACGGG
Molecule: ribosomal RNA, 253 nt
Filed under: uncultured bacterium
Lineage: Bacteria
Description: partial 16S ribosomal RNA
Rfam family: Bacterial small subunit ribosomal RNA
Source: RNAcentral